UCCCUUGUACCUCAGUUGGUAAAGAAUCUGCCUACAAUGCAGGAGACCUCAGGUUAGAUUCCUGAGUUGGGAA
This 73-nucleotide transfer RNA is filed under the name Ovis aries (sheep). It matches the Rfam family "tRNA". From Rfam's summary of the family: Transfer RNA (tRNA) molecules are approximately 80 nucleotides in length. Lineage: Eukaryota; Metazoa; Chordata; Mammalia; Artiodactyla; Bovidae. The record is from Rfam by way of RNAcentral.